CCUACGGGAGGCAGCAGUGGGGAAUAUUGGACAAUGGGCGAAAGCCUGAUCCAGCCAUGCCGCGUGUGUGAAGAAGGCCUUCGGGUUGUAAAGCACUUUCAGUGGGGAAGAAAGCCUUGGGGCUAAUACCCUCGAGGAAGGACAUCACCCACAGAAGAAGCACCGGCUAACUCCGUGCCAGCAGCCGCGGUAAUACGGAGGGUGCGAGCGUUAAUCGGAAUUACUGGGCGUAAAGCGCGCGUAGGCGGUCUGAUAAGCCGGUUGUGAAAGCCCCGGGCUCAACCUGGGAACGGCAUCCGGAACUGUCAGGCUAGAGUGCAGGAGAGGAAGGUAGAAUUCCCGGUGUAGCGGUGAAAUGCGUAGAGAUCGGGAGGAAUACCAGUGGCGAAGGCGGCCUUCUGGACUGACACUGACGCUGAGGUGCGAAAGCGUGGGUAGCAAACAGGAUUAAUACCCCGGUAGUC
Molecule: ribosomal RNA, 464 nt
Filed under: Vreelandella stevensii
Lineage: Bacteria; Pseudomonadati; Pseudomonadota; Gammaproteobacteria; Oceanospirillales; Halomonadaceae
Description: partial 16S ribosomal RNA
Rfam family: Bacterial small subunit ribosomal RNA
Source: RNAcentral